UUUGAUAUAACUUCCAAGCAUGCAAUGUAUAUGCAUUAUCUGAUUAAUCUAAUAGUUUGAGUUGAGAUACAUUUCAGGAAAGAAUCAAACACUACACUUGGACAAAUCUUGGAUCUCAAGCAAUCAACCAAAUAUUGAUCAUAUCAUACAAGGCUUGAAGAUUAUGUGUAAAUGUGUCUAUUGUUCAUAGUGUUUAUUAGUUAGAUUCAUC
This 211-nucleotide long non-coding RNA is filed under the name Cicer arietinum (chickpea). RNAcentral describes it as "long non-coding RNA (CARI_LNC003250)". Lineage: Eukaryota; Viridiplantae; Streptophyta; Magnoliopsida; Fabales; Fabaceae. The record is from RNAcentral.